AGCAGCCGCGGUAAUUCCAGCUCCAAUAGCGUAUAUUAAAGUUGUUGCAGUUAAAAGCUCGUAGUUGAAUUUCGGGAUUGGCGCAUCGGUCGUGCCUCACGGGGUAUGAACUGGUGCAGUCAAUUUCUCACCUUCUGGAGAACCGCGAUGUCCUUAAUUGGAUGCCGCGGGGAACCAGGACCUUUACUUUGAAAAAAUUGAGUGUUUAAAGCAGGCAUUUUUGCUUGAAUACAUUAGCAUGGAAUAAUAAAAUAGGACGGCAUGGUUCUAUUUUGUUGGUUUCUAGGACCACCGUAAUGAUUAAUAGGGAUAGUUGGGGGCAUUAGUAUUCAAUUGUCAGAGGUGAAAUUCUUGGAUUUAUUGAAGACUAACUACUGCGAAAGCAUUUGCCAAGGAUGUUUUCAUUAAUCAAGAACGAAAGUUAGGGGAUCGAAGACGAUCAGAUACCGUCGUAGUCUUAACCAUAAACUAUGCCGACUAGGAAUCAGACGAUGUUAAUUUUUUAAUGUACUUCGUUUUG
Molecule: unclassified non-coding RNA, 520 nt
Filed under: uncultured Entrophospora
Lineage: Eukaryota; Fungi; Glomeromycota; Glomeromycetes; Entrophosporales; Entrophosporaceae
Description: SSU rRNA
Rfam family: Eukaryotic small subunit ribosomal RNA
Source: RNAcentral